GUCUACAACCAAACCGCCCUGAACGCUCCUGAUGUUGUCUGAUCUCAGAAGCAGGGUUAAGCCUGGUUAGUACUUGGAAGGGAGAAACACAACUAGUGACUGAAUACA
Molecule: ribosomal RNA, 108 nt
Organism: Colobus angolensis palliatus
Lineage: Eukaryota; Metazoa; Chordata; Mammalia; Primates; Cercopithecidae
Source: Ensembl